This 357-nucleotide ribosomal RNA is filed under the name uncultured bacterium. RNAcentral describes it as "bacterial SSU rRNA". It matches the Rfam family "Bacterial small subunit ribosomal RNA", at positions 8 to 353 of the family's 1533-position model. The record is from RNAcentral.
AGAGUUUGAUCCUGGCUCAGGAUGAACGCUAGCGACAGGCUUAACACAUGCAAGUCGAGGGGCAGCAUGAUUUGUAGCAAUUACAGAUUGAUGGCGACCGGCGCACGGGUGAGUAACGCGUAUGCAACUUACCUAUCAGAGGGGGAUAGCCCGGCGAAAGUCGGAUUAAUACCCCAUAAAACAGGGGUCCCGCAUGGGAAUAUUUGUUAAAGAUUCAUCGCUGAUAGAUAGGCAUGCGUUCCAUUAGGCAGUUGGCGGGGUAACGGCCCACCAAACCGACGAUGGAUAGGGGUUCUGAGAGGAAGGUCCCCCACCAUUGGUACUGAGACACGGACCAAACUCCUACGGGAGGCUGCA